RNAcentral lists this unclassified non-coding RNA (376 nucleotides) under soil metagenome. Its description in RNAcentral is "partial contains 5.8S ribosomal RNA, internal transcribed spacer 2, and large subunit ribosomal RNA". The stretch from base 1 to 120 matches the Rfam family "5.8S ribosomal RNA", at positions 35 to 154 of the family's 154-position model. The record is from RNAcentral.
GAUGAAGAACGUAGCGAAAUGCGAUAAGUAAUGUGAAUUGCAGAAUUCAGUGAAUCAUCGAAUCUUUGAACGCAUCUUGCGCUCCUUGGUAUUCUGAGGAGCAUGCCUGUUUGAGUGUCAUUAAAUUCUCAACUACACUGACUUUGAAUUGGUGUGGCUUGGAUUUGGGGGGAAAAUUGUUGUGGGCUUUUUGUAUAGUCUGCUCCCCUGAAAUUGAUUAGCGGUACCUUUGUGGAACUGUCUACAGGUGUGAUAAUUAUCUACAUCUUAGACAUCUACUGGAAUGCUGCUUUCUAAACCUUACUUGUAUUGACAAUCUUGACCUCAAAUCAGGUAGGACUACCCGCUGAACUUAAGCAUAUCAAUAAGAGGAGGA